RNAcentral lists this ribosomal RNA (267 nucleotides) under uncultured Glomus. RNAcentral's name for it is "partial small subunit ribosomal RNA". It matches the Rfam family "Eukaryotic small subunit ribosomal RNA", at positions 605 to 877 of the family's 1831-position model. The record is from RNAcentral. Lineage: Eukaryota; Fungi; Glomeromycota; Glomeromycetes; Glomerales; Glomeraceae.
UAAAGUUGCUGCAGUUAAAAAGCUCAUAGUUGAAUUUCGGGACCAUCAUGUCGGUCGUGCCUCGGUACGUACUGGUAUUGUUGGUUUCUCCCUUCUGACGAACCAUGAUGUCAUUUAUUUGGUGUUGUGGGGAAUCAGGACUGUUACUUUGAAAAAAUUAGAGUGUUUAAAGCAGGCUCACGCUUGAAUACAUUAGCAUGGAAUAAUGAAAUAGGACGUUUGAUUCUAUUUUGUUGGUUUCUAGGAUCGACGUAAUGAUUAAUAGGG